GCGGAGACGCAUGUUUCCGUUCACUCCUCACACCACACUCCGCCUGAACACUGUUCGGGCGGUU
This 64-nucleotide small RNA is filed under the name Leptolyngbyaceae cyanobacterium JSC-12. Its description in RNAcentral is "Oscillatoriales cyanobacterium JSC-12 Cyanobacterial functional RNA 1". It matches the Rfam family "Cyanobacterial functional RNA 1". Lineage: Bacteria; Bacillati; Cyanobacteriota; Cyanophyceae; Leptolyngbyales; Leptolyngbyaceae. The record is from Rfam by way of RNAcentral.